RNAcentral lists this ribosomal RNA (229 nucleotides) under Klebsiella pneumoniae. RNAcentral describes it as "partial 16S ribosomal RNA". It matches the Rfam family "Bacterial small subunit ribosomal RNA", at positions 1305 to 1533 of the family's 1533-position model. Lineage: Bacteria; Pseudomonadati; Pseudomonadota; Gammaproteobacteria; Enterobacterales; Enterobacteriaceae. RNAcentral also lists the same sequence under 1 other name. The record is from RNAcentral.
CUGCAACUCGACUCCAUGAAGUCGGAAUCGCUAGUAAUCGUAGAUCAGAAUGCUACGGUGAAUACGUUCCCGGGCCUUGUACACACCGCCCGUCACACCAUGGGAGUGGGUUGCAAAAGAAGUAGGUAGCUUAACCUUCGGGAGGGCGCUUACCACUUUGUGAUUCAUGACUGGGGUGAAGUCGUAACAAGGUAACCGUAGGGGAACCUGCGGUUGGAUCACCUCCUUA